RNAcentral lists this long non-coding RNA (708 nucleotides) under Rattus norvegicus (Norway rat). RNAcentral's name for it is "long non-coding RNA NONRATT027333". Lineage: Eukaryota; Metazoa; Chordata; Mammalia; Rodentia; Muridae. The record is from RNAcentral.
GGGGGGGGGGACAGGGUGCUGAGGGCAGGUGUGAGCCGAGGAGGAGGGUGGACAGGAGAUCUGCUGUGUCCCCUUCAUGUUCGUUCUCUCCAAGCCACUCUCUGGAGCCAGCCAACCAAGUACAGGACUUGAUGCCUCAAAGCAAGUGGCCCAGAGUGAUGCUGCAGGUGGUCCUGGGUGGGGCAUAGAGUAGGGAGUUCUCUCAGGUCUGGGGGUGGGGGUGGGGAUACCAGGGCAGGGAAGUGGGGUUGGGAACCCAGCUGUCCCUUCAAACAGCAGCACCACUAGGGGGCUGGGUAGGAGUUUCAUGGGCCAAUCGCUAGGGUCCCCACACUUCCUUUGCUGGGUUCUUUCUGUUCCCAGGCUUGGAAGCUUUGCACAAGAAGACAGCCCCCAGCUGCAGCACCUACCUCAUGAGCAUGGGGCAGGAUGGCAGGGCGGGUCUAGCCCUAGCAAUGUUGGGGGGCAUACCAAAGAAUCCAGGGAUGGAGCGUGGGGGAGGGCACGCUGGCCCUCCACUCCCUCUGCUAACAUUGGGUUGGGAUCCUCUCUCAGUUGUAACCCAUUUCUACCUCAUUUUGCUGUAUGUUGUACAUGGGCAUAUUUAUCUCCUGUCUGAUGAUGCUCUGCAGUUGUGGUCUGUCUACCUCAGAAGAGACUGUAUUUUAAAAGAAAAUAUUACACAGUAUUAAAGUUAUGACGUGUGGU